GGCCAGACUCCUACGGGAGGCAGCAGUGGGGAAUAUUGCACAAUGGGCGAAAGCCUGAUGCAGCGACGCCGCGUGAGUGAAGAAGUAUUUCGGUAUGUAAAGCUCUAUCAGCAGGGAAGAAAAUGACGGUACCUGACUAAGAAGCCCCGGCUAACUACGUGCCAGCAGCCGCGGUAAUACGUAGGGGGCAAGCGUUAUCCGGAUUUACUGGGUGUAAAGGGAGUGUAGGUGGCAUAACAAGUCAGAAGUGAAAGCCCGGGGCUCAACCGCGGGACUGCUUUUGAAACUGUUAAGCUUGAGUGCAGGAGAGGUAAGCGGAAUUCCUAGUGUAGCGGUGAAAUGCAUAGAUAUCACGCAGAACUCCGAUUGCGAAGGCAGCGCACCGGCGCCCUACUGACGCUCAGGCACGAAAGCGUGGGUAUCGAACAGGAUUAGAUACCCGAGUA
RNAcentral lists this ribosomal RNA (446 nucleotides) under uncultured bacterium. Its description in RNAcentral is "bacterial SSU rRNA". It matches the Rfam family "Bacterial small subunit ribosomal RNA", at positions 329 to 792 of the family's 1533-position model. The record is from RNAcentral.